GCUGGGCAUGGUGGCGCGCGCCUGUAGUCCCAGCUCCUUGGGAGGCUGUGGCAGGGGAAUCGCUUGAAACCGGGAGGCCGAGGUUGCUGUGAGCUGAGAUCGCGCCACUGCACUCCAGCCUGGGUGACAGAGUGAGACCCUGUCUCAA
This 148-nucleotide non-coding RNA is filed under the name Pan troglodytes (chimpanzee). The record is from Rfam by way of RNAcentral. Lineage: Eukaryota; Metazoa; Chordata; Mammalia; Primates; Hominidae.